Molecule: small nuclear RNA, 184 nt
Filed under: Marmota monax (woodchuck)
Lineage: Eukaryota; Metazoa; Chordata; Mammalia; Rodentia; Sciuridae
Rfam family: U4 spliceosomal RNA (bases 1-80)
Source: RNAcentral
AGCUUUGCGCAGUGGCAGUAUCGUAGCCAAUGAGGUUUAUCCGAGGCGCGAUUAUUGCUAAUUGAAAAAAAAAAAAAGAAAGAAUGGCUUCCAGGUUUCUGUCAUUGAACUAAGUGAUUGUACCAUUAUUAAGAUGAGAAAGACCAAGGAAAAGUAAAUUUUGGGAAGGAAAAAAUAAAAUUUU